This 476-nucleotide ribosomal RNA is filed under the name Kodamaea ohmeri. RNAcentral describes it as "eukaryotic LSU rRNA". It matches the Rfam family "Eukaryotic large subunit ribosomal RNA", at positions 100 to 669 of the family's 3401-position model. The record is from RNAcentral. Lineage: Eukaryota; Fungi; Ascomycota; Pichiomycetes; Serinales; Debaryomycetaceae.
GGCAAAAGCUCAAAUUUGAAAUCCCCCCGGGGAGUUGUAAUUUGAAGAUUGCGUCUUGGAGGCGACCGUGUCUAUGUUCCUUGGAACAGGACGUCACAGAGGGUGAGAAUCCCGUGCGGCACGGCCCCCGGCUCCUUAUAAGGCGCUCUCGACGAGUCGAGUUGUUUGGGAAUGCAGCUCAAAGUGGGUGGUAAAUUCCAUCUAAAGCUAAAUACAGGCGAGAGACCGAUAGCGAACAAGUACAGUGAUGGAAAGAUGAAAAGCACUUUGAAAAGAGAGUGAAACAGCACGUGAAAUUGUUGAAAGGGAAGGGCAUGCCGUCAGAUUGUCAGUGUGGGUAAGAAGCGGGGUACAAAGACUGUGGAACGUGGCCCUCGGGUGUUAUAGCCGCAGUUCAUGCCCCGUCUCUUUCCGAGGCCUGCUUUGAGGACACCGACGUAAUGACGGUACGCCGCCCGUCUUGAAACACGGACCCA